UCCCUCUUAGCUCAGUUGGUAGAGCGCGUCACUAGUAUCUCAGAUCAAUGACGAGGUCAGUCGUUCAAAUCGGCUAGCGGGAA
Molecule: non-coding RNA, 83 nt
Organism: Mycena galopus ATCC 62051
Lineage: Eukaryota; Fungi; Basidiomycota; Agaricomycetes; Agaricales; Mycenaceae
Source: the annotation of a GenBank genome assembly